AUCCAGAGAAUUUAGCAGAGAUGCUUUAGUGCCUUCGGGAACUCUGAGACAGGUGCUGCAUGGCUGUCGUCAGCUCGUGUUGUGAAAUGUUGGGUUAAGUCCCGNAACGAGCGCAACCCCUAUCCUUUGUUGCCAUCGAUUCGGUCGGGAACUCAAAGGAGACUGCCGGUGAUAAACCGGAGGAAGGUGGGGAUGACGUCAAGUCAUCAUGGCCCUUACGAGUAGGGCUACACACGUGCUACAAUGGCGCAUACAAAGAGAAGCGACCUCGCGAGAGCAAGCGGACCUCAUAAAGUGCGUCGUAGUCCGGAUUGGAGUCUGCAACUCGACUCCAUGAAGUCGGAAUCGCUAGUAAUCGUAGAUCAGAAUGCUACGGUGAAUACGUUCCCGGGCCUUGUACACACCGCCCGUCACACCAUGGGAGUGGGUUGCAAAAGAAGUAGAUAGCUUAACCUUCGGGAGGGCGUUUACCACUUUGUGAUUCAUGACUGGGGUGAAGUCGUAACAAGGUAAGCGUACGUGU
This 523-nucleotide ribosomal RNA is filed under the name uncultured bacterium. RNAcentral's name for it is "bacterial SSU rRNA". It matches the Rfam family "Bacterial small subunit ribosomal RNA", at positions 986 to 1509 of the family's 1533-position model. The record is from RNAcentral.